CUGGAAACAGUUUCUUCUCCAAUCUGCUUAUAAUCACAUUUGCCACAAGCUCCUUCUUUGCCUGAUAGUCCUUUGGAGGGAGUUCCUCCCAGUCUUCUAUGGAAGAAGUUGUAAAUAUGUGAAGAAUAUGGUGCCCCUUGGGAGCUAGUGAUGAAUCAAGAACGGUUGGAAUGCUUAAAAAUAUACUGCCANNNNNNNNUUGCCCAGUCAUCCUCAAGCACAAAAUGAUGGCAAUCUGUAUCUGGUGGCAGAACAUCAGC
This 260-nucleotide unclassified non-coding RNA is filed under the name Hevea brasiliensis (rubber tree). Lineage: Eukaryota; Viridiplantae; Streptophyta; Magnoliopsida; Malpighiales; Euphorbiaceae. The record is from RNAcentral.